AAUGGCCGAGAGGCUGAACCAGCCAAGUCGCGUGAGGGAUGAAGGUUCUAUGGAUCGUAAACCUCUUUUAUAAGGGAAUAAAGUGCGGGACGUGUCCCGUUUUGUAUGUACCUUAUGAAUAAGGAUCGGCUAACUCCGUGCCAGCAGCCGCGGUAAUACGGAGGAUCCGAGCGUUAUCCGGAUUUAUUGGGUUUAAAGGGUGCGUAGGCGGCCUUUUAAGUCAGCGGUGAAAGUCUGUGGCUCAACCAUAGAAUUGCCGUUGAAACUGGGGGGCUUGAGUAUGUUUGAGGCAGGCGGAAUGCGUGGUGUAGCGGUGAAAUGCAUAGAUAUCACGCAGAACCCCGAUUGCGAAGGCAGCCUGCCAAGCCAUUACUGACGCUGAUGCACGAAAGCGUGGGGAUCAAA
This 405-nucleotide ribosomal RNA is filed under the name uncultured bacterium. RNAcentral's name for it is "bacterial SSU rRNA". It matches the Rfam family "Bacterial small subunit ribosomal RNA", at positions 370 to 772 of the family's 1533-position model. The record is from RNAcentral.